GGAGGGGUGGCAGAGUCUGGUUUAACGCGGCGGUCUUGAAAACCGUUGUGGGGUUAUACCCACCGGGGGUUCGAAUCCUCUCCCCUCCGCCA
Molecule: transfer RNA, 92 nt
Filed under: Candidatus Omnitrophota bacterium
Lineage: Bacteria; Pseudomonadati; Candidatus Omnitrophota
Description: tRNA-Ser
Rfam family: tRNA
About the family: Transfer RNA (tRNA) molecules are approximately 80 nucleotides in length. Their secondary structure includes four short double-helical elements and three loops (D, anti-codon, and T loops). Further hydrogen bonds mediate the characteristic L-shaped molecular structure. tRNAs have two regions of fundamental functional importance: the anti-codon, which is responsible for specific mRNA codon recognition, and the 3' end, to which the tRNAs corresponding amino acid is attached (by aminoacyl-tRNA synthetases). tRNAs cope with the degeneracy of the genetic code in two manners: having more than one tRNA (with a specific anti-codon) for a particular amino acid; and 'wobble' base-pairing, i.e. permitting non-standard base-pairing at the 3rd anti-codon position.
Source: RNAcentral